Nannospalax galili (Upper Galilee mountains blind mole rat) is the source of this 98-nucleotide microRNA precursor. Ensembl annotates it as microRNA 340. Its record names the gene Mir340. The record is from Ensembl. NCBI's taxonomy places the organism in Eukaryota, Metazoa, Chordata, Mammalia, Rodentia, Spalacidae.
CAUUUGUACUUGGCGUGAUUAUAAAGCAAUGAGACUGAUUGUCAUAUGUUGUUUGUGGGAUCCGUCUCAGUUACUUUAUAGCCAUACCUGGUAUCGUA